GUACCGUGAGGGAAAGGCGAAAAGAACCCCGGCGAGGGGAGUGAAAAAGAACCUGAAACCGUGUACGUACAAGCAGUGGGAGCACGCUUAGGCGUGUGACUGCGUACCUUUUGUAUAAUGGGUCAGCGACUUAUAUUCUGUAGCAAGGUUAACCGAAUAGGGGAGCCGAAGGGAAACCGAGUCUUAACUGGGCGUUAAGUUGCAGGGUAUAGACCCGAAACCCGGUGAUCUAGCCAUGGGCAGGUUGAAGGUUGGGUAACACUAACUGGAGGACCGAACCGACUAAUGUUGAAAAAUUAGCGGAUGACUUGUGGCUGGGGGUGAAAGGCCAAUCAAACCGGGAGAUAGCUGGUUCUCCCCGAAAGCUAUUUAGGUAGCGCCUCGUGAAUUCAUCUCCGGGGGUAGAGCACUGUUUCGGCAAGGGGGUCAUCCCGACUUACCAACCCGAUGCAAACUGCGAAUACCGGAGAAUGUUAUCACGGGAGACACACGGCGGGUGCUAACGUCCGUCGUGAAGAGGGAAACAACCCAGACCGCCAGCUAAGGUCCCAAAGUCAUGGUUAAGUGGGAAACGAUGUGGGAAGGCCCAGACAGCCAGGAUGUUGGCUUAGAAGCAGCCAUCAUUUAAAGAAAGCGUAAUAGCUCACUGGUCGAGUCGGCCUGCGCGGAAGAUGUAACGGGGCUAAACCAUGCACCGAAGCUGCGGCAGCGACGCUGAUGCGUUGUUGGGUAGGGGAGCGUUCUGUAAGCCUGUGAAGGUGUGCUGUGAGGCAUGCUGGAGGUAUCAGAAGUGCGAAUGCUGACAUAAGUAACGAUAAAGCGGGUGAAAAGCCCGCUCGCCGGAAGACCAAGGGUUCCUGUCCAACGUUAAUCGGGGCAGGGUGAGUCGACCCCUAAGGCGAGGCCGAAAGGCGUAGUCGAUGGGAAACAGGUUAAUAUUCCUGUACUUGGUGUUACUGCGAAGGGGGGACGGAGAAGGCUAUGUUGGCCGGGCGACGGUUGUCCCGGUUUAAGCGUGUAGGCUGGUUUUCCAGGCAAAUCCGGAAAAC
RNAcentral lists this ribosomal RNA (1049 nucleotides) under Escherichia coli. RNAcentral describes it as "partial 23S ribosomal RNA". It matches the Rfam family "Bacterial large subunit ribosomal RNA", at positions 498 to 1550 of the family's 2925-position model. Lineage: Bacteria; Pseudomonadati; Pseudomonadota; Gammaproteobacteria; Enterobacterales; Enterobacteriaceae. The record is from RNAcentral.